UUCUGUCUGGUAGUGGCCAGCCAGAUACCUGUGGGAAGCCUACAAGUAGAAUGAGAGAGAGAGAGAGAGAGAGAGAGAGAGAGAGAAUGUACUCAAGCCCACAGUAAAGCUAUAUGGGUGGAUGGAUUUACAGUAAUUUGAAGAAUUUUCCGGAGGCAGCGUUGGUGGAAUCUUUCAAGACGUUGGGGGUGGCGUUUAUCAAUGGUCCAUGUUUCACAGGCGUACAGUAAGCAGCCAGAACUCUUCACACUGGAAGGAACCAGCUGGAUCAGGAAGACCUGUGGUGCAAGCUGUAGAGGUGCUGAGCCCAGAUCCAGGCCAUGAUACAGAACCUGAGCUGGGGCCUGGCAGCCAACAGCCCCUUGAGUCAGAGACCCCUGAACUGGGACCCCUGGAGAAACACUACCUGAGCCAGAUUCUACUAAAGAACUGCCCUAUGCUCCCCGGUACCAGUGCAGGCACACACAAGGCAGUGGAUGAAUGAGAUGUGAUGGAAUGCUGGGCUCCAGGCCAGAUGACCUUUAAGACUCUCCAGUCUUUGGAAAGGGGGUGGAGCCUGGGAGGCAUAGUCUGGCCCAAUAAGCCUCAGUUGAGCGUCAUACCAUGCCAGAGCAAGUUGGCUGCUUGGAACUAUCCAAGGUCCUGCAACACCUAGCUGCUACUGACGAACUAUGGGACCCUCAGGUGUCUGUCAUACCCUGUGAUCAGGACAGGGCACCACAUAUAAAUAUUUCUCAGGUUAUUUUGAGAUAUCCCACUGCUUUAGCAGCUGAACUGCCUCCCAAUCCAUUCUGAAUCCAAUUCAAAAUGCUGAUUUUAAGCUAUAAAGACCUAAAUGGCUUAGGAGCAGAUUACCUGAGAGAUCACCUCCUCUCAUACAGGGCCGGCUCCAGGCAUGACGGGGCCCUUGGGCACCACUGUGCCCUGGGCCCCUCCGCUCCCAUUCUGCGAUCCGCGGAAACAGCCAUGGGAGGAAUCGCAGGACAGGAGCUUCUGAGCCGCCCGCCGUCCCGUCCCAUCCCAUCCCCCCCGCUUCACCUACCUUUCUGCUUUUUUUGU
Molecule: long non-coding RNA, 1059 nt
Organism: Rhineura floridana
Lineage: Eukaryota; Metazoa; Chordata; Lepidosauria; Squamata; Rhineuridae
Exons: 3
Source: RefSeq, a predicted model, not a curated record